GACGAACGCUGGCGGCGUGCUUAACACAUGCAAGUCGAGCGGUAAGGCCCUUUCGGGGGUACGACGAGCGGCGAACGGGUGAGUAACACGUGGGUGACCUGCCCUCAGCUCUGGGAUAAGCCUGGGAAACCGGGUCUAAUACCGGAUAUGACUCCAUGACGCAUGUUGUGGGGUGGAAAGCCUUGUGCGGCUGAGGAUGGGCCCGCGGCCUAUCAGCUUGUUGGUGGGGUGAUGGCCUACCAAGGCGACGACGGGUAGCCGGCCUGAGAGGGCGACCGGCCACACUGGGACUGAGACACGGCCCAGACUCCUACGGGAGGCAGCAGUGGGGAAUCUUGCGCAAUGGGCGAAAGCCUGACGCAGCGACGCCGCGUGAGGGACGACGGCCU
Molecule: ribosomal RNA, 389 nt
Filed under: uncultured bacterium
Lineage: Bacteria
Description: bacterial SSU rRNA
Rfam family: Bacterial small subunit ribosomal RNA
Source: RNAcentral